AAUAGAUACCCGGGUAGUCCACGCUGUAAACGAUGAGUGCUAGGUGUUGGGUAGCGAUACUCAGUGCCGAAGUAAACACAAUAAGCACUCCGCCUGGGGGAGUACGGUCGCAAGACUGAAACUCAAAGGAAUUGACGGGGACCCGCACAAGCAGCGGAGCAUGUGGUUUAAUUCGAAGCAACGCGAAGAACCUUACCAAGGCUUGACAUCCCCCUUGACCGGCACAGAGAUGUGCCCUCUCCUUCGGGAGCAAGGGUGACAGGUGGUGCAUGGUUGUCGUCAGCUCGUGUCGUGAGAUGUUGGGUUAAGUCCCGCAACGAGCGCAACCCUUAUCCUUAGUUGCCAUCAUUAAGUUGGGCACUCUAAGGAGACUGCCGAUGAUAAAUCGGAGGAAGGUGGGGAUGACGUCAAAUCAUCAUGCCCCUUAUGUCUUGGGCUACACACGUGCUACAAUGGUCGGUACAAAGGGCAGCGAAGGAGUGAUCUGGAGCGAAUCCCAAUAAACCGAUCUCAGUUCGGAUUGU
Molecule: ribosomal RNA, 524 nt
Filed under: uncultured bacterium
Lineage: Bacteria
Description: bacterial SSU rRNA
Rfam family: Bacterial small subunit ribosomal RNA
Source: RNAcentral